CUCGUAGGCGGCUCCGUAAGUCAGGGGUGAAAUCCAAUGGCUCAACCAUUGACACGCCUCUGAAACUACGGACCUUGAGUCCGGGAGAGGAAAGCGGAAUUCCAGGAGUAGCGGUGAAAUGCGUAGAUAUCUGGAAGAACACCAGUGGCGAAGGCGGCUUUCUGGCCCGGUACUGACGCUGAGGAGCGAAAGCUAGGGGAGCGAAC
Molecule: ribosomal RNA, 206 nt
Filed under: uncultured bacterium
Lineage: Bacteria
Description: partial 16S ribosomal RNA
Rfam family: Bacterial small subunit ribosomal RNA
Source: RNAcentral